This 241-nucleotide non-coding RNA is filed under the name Limosilactobacillus fermentum. Lineage: Bacteria; Bacillati; Bacillota; Bacilli; Lactobacillales; Lactobacillaceae. The record is from RNAcentral.
GAAACAGCUGAGAAGAGAUGAGUAAGGACCGGAAACCUCCUAAGAGAGGCGGGAUAGGUGCAAGCCGCCGUGGUGAAAGGUCCUGAAGAUGGUCUUGGAGCAAUCCGGCUCCGCAAACGAUGGUGAGCGGACCGCGGCUGACGCCCGAUAUUGCGUCUGGGUAUUCCUUGGAGUACCCACUGAGGACCCGAUCGCGAGGUGGGGUCAAAUAAGGGUGGUAACACGAUCAAGCGUCCCUGAA